UUUUUUUUUUUUUUUUACUCAUGAUACUUAAAAAAUUGGAUGGGGUCCCAAUUGAAUUUUAGACUCCAUCUAUGUGCAAAAUUUAGCCUGAGCUAGUCAUCGACCAUACAUAUGUAACAAGUUCUGCUAUUUUAUCCUAAAAUUGUUGAAUCCUUCAUAAUGCUCUGAAUUGAAAUGACUGUCAUAUGAGAACUCAACCUCAUUAAAUUUUGAACAAACCUGCUUAACACUUACUAAAGGUCACAAUUACAAUUUAAAAAUGACUCCAAAGAUUUUUUAAGUGAACAUCCUAAAAUUUUCUAGAACAAGAAUCAGUAUUCCAUUGUGUUUAUCAUAUACUAUAAAUUAUUUUAGAAUUAUUUAAUCCUGUGAAACUUCUGAGCAUGUAUUUUAUGAUCACACAAUUACAAACAUAUUGGGGUUCUAAGCAAUGAAAAUAAUUUUACAAAGUUGCAAAAAAAGGCUUUUGAGGAAAAGAUGGAGUCAGCUAAUUUAAACAACAGGUCAUUUUAGGCACAUGAGGAAAAAUUAGAUAAGGCCAUGGAUGAAGUCAUGGAAAGAGCAAUCACAAUUUUUAUUUUAUUUUAUUUUAUUUUUAUUUUUUGUCUUUUUGCUAUUUCUUUGGGCCAUUUCUGCGGCAUAUGAAGAUUCCUCUUGAGCUAGGAAGAAAAGCUUCUUGGUGGGGGGGGGUUCUUGUAGAAAAGUUUGCUUGCUGAUGAUAGACAUACAACAUAGAUGGAACUGUUUUUUCUUCCACUGGACACUAGUGUCCACAUGUGCUUCCUAGAAUGUGCAGCCACCAUGUAGUCACAAUGGAUGACUGCCAAGGAUAAAACCACCCAGCUGAGCAAGCCAGAACAGAAAGACUCUGUGGGAGGUUGUGCAAUGUCUCCAAAAGAUAACAAAGCCCUAAUCCCUGAAACUUUUGAACAUUACCUUAUAUGACAAAAGGAACAUUCUGACUGUAAUUAAAUCACUAAAACUGGGAUGGAGUGAUGAUGUUGGCUUAACUGGUUAGACCCUAAUGGUAAUCACAAGUGUUCUUAGAUAAAAGGGGACUGGAGGAAACUGACCCACAGAGAGGAGAAUGCAAUGUGAUGGAAAUCACAGAGAGAUAUGAAGAUGUUGCACCGCUGGUAUAGACAACAGAGGAAGACAUUGUAAACCAAGGAAUGCAGCUUUAGAAUCUGGAUAAAACAAGGAAACAAAUUCUCCUCUACAGUCUCAGAAGACAAGAUGGUGCUGCAUAUAUAAUUUCAUUACAGCUGGUGAAACUAAUUUCAGACUUCUGGCCUCCAGACAGUAAAAUAAUAAUUUUGUGUUGUUGUUAGCUACUAAAUUUGUAAUAAUUUGUUGUAGCAGCCACAGAAUACUCACAACAGAUGAAACAUUUGAAUGAGCCACUAAAUUUAGUCACCUUGGAGCCAUUCACUCAUAAGGUGUAAGUGGGGAUUAUCGGAGUGGCAUACCUGAUUGUUCUGAAUAGUAAAUAUUUAUUAAAUGGGUUAUCAUUUUCGCUGACUUUACUGGAUCUUGUCCUAAAUUUCCAUCACAUGUAGCCUUAGAGUAAGCUCUCCAUUACUUUAUGUCAGUUCUUAUAAAUUGUCAGAAGUUCUAAGAUAUGGAUCAUAGCCCAGGGAAAAAAAUAAAGCUUUUAUCACAAUUUUAUAAAAUUAAUAUUAAAAGCUCUCUCAAUAAAAGGUAACACCAUAUUUUCAACCAUUCAAUUAAGAGAUACUUGGGCUCCAUCUUGAAUGCUUGAAUGCAUUUUUGUCUCACACCCACAUAUAAUCUGUCAGUACCUCUUUCAGCUCUACCUUCAAUAUCAUCCAAAUCAGACCACCUGUUUCUCUCCAUUUUAAAUGCUAC
Molecule: long non-coding RNA, 1869 nt
Filed under: Sus scrofa (pig)
Lineage: Eukaryota; Metazoa; Chordata; Mammalia; Artiodactyla; Suidae
Description: lncRNA (ENSSSCG00050030646.1)
Source: RNAcentral